AGUGAACGCUGGCGGUAGGCCUAACACAUGCAAGUCGAACGGCAGCACAGUAAGAGCUUGCUCUUACGGGUGGCGAGUGGCGGACGGGUGAGGAAUACAUCGGAAUCUACUUUUUCGUGGGGGAUAACGUAGGGAAACUUACGCUAAUACCGCAUACGACCUACGGGUGAAAGCAGGGGAUCUUCGGACCUUGCGCGAUUGAAUGAGCCGAUGUCGGAUUAGCUAGUUGGCGGGGGAAAGGCCCACCAAGGCGACGAUCCGUAGCCGGUCUGAGAGGAUGAUCAGCCACACUGGAACUGAGACACGGUCCAGACUCCUACGGGAGGCAGCAGUGGGGAAUAUUGGACAAUGGGCGCAAGCCUGAUCCAGCCAUACCGCGUGGGUGAAGAAGGCCUUCGGGUUGUAAAGCCCUUUUGUUGGGAAAGAAAAGCAGCAGGUUAAUACCCCGCUGUUCUGACGGUACCCAAAGAAUAAGCACCGGCUAACUUCGUG
This 492-nucleotide ribosomal RNA is filed under the name uncultured bacterium. RNAcentral's name for it is "partial 16S ribosomal RNA". It matches the Rfam family "Bacterial small subunit ribosomal RNA", at positions 29 to 507 of the family's 1533-position model. The record is from RNAcentral.